Molecule: ribosomal RNA, 126 nt
Filed under: Erinaceus europaeus (western European hedgehog)
Lineage: Eukaryota; Metazoa; Chordata; Mammalia; Eulipotyphla; Erinaceidae
Source: RNAcentral
CAGAAAGUGGGUCCUUUCCCCACAGUGCCCCAUCUCAUCUGAUCUCAGAAGCUAAGCAGGGUCAGGCCUGGUUAGUACUUGGAUGGAAGGAAAACAAUUAUAGAUGGCAGACCUUCCACCUUCUGC